This 261-nucleotide ribosomal RNA is filed under the name uncultured Anoxybacillus sp. RNAcentral's name for it is "partial 16S ribosomal RNA". It matches the Rfam family "Bacterial small subunit ribosomal RNA", at positions 1128 to 1382 of the family's 1533-position model. Lineage: Bacteria; Bacillati; Bacillota; Bacilli; Caryophanales; Anoxybacillaceae. The record is from RNAcentral.
GUUGGGGACACUCCGUAAGGUGACUGGCCGGCCGUAAAAGUCGGGAGGAAGGUGGGGAUGACGUCAAAUCAUCAUGCCCCUUAUGACCUGGGCUACACACGUGCUACAAUGGGCGGUACAAAGGGUCGCGAACCCGCGAGGGGGAGCCAAUCCCAAAAAGCCGCUCUCAGUUCGGAUUGCAGGCUGCAACUCGCCUGCAUGAAGCCGGAAUCGCUAGUAAUCGCGGAUCAGCAUGCCGCGGUGAAUACGUUCCCGGGCCUU